This is a long non-coding RNA of Eucalyptus grandis, 686 nucleotides long. RefSeq lists it as uncharacterized. NCBI's taxonomy places the organism in Eukaryota, Viridiplantae, Streptophyta, Magnoliopsida, Myrtales, Myrtaceae. The record is from RefSeq and is a predicted model, not a curated record. The transcript is spliced from 3 exons.
CCUAAAAAGAAUAAAACUAAAAAAACAAAAUCGGAACACUUCUGGAGGUGGGUUCGUUCGUGCCCGAAGGCUUUCGUUCAUGCUCUCCCUUUUCCGGCGUCUCUCCCUUCUCUCCGGCGCCUCCCACUCGACUGACUCUCCGGCGACUCCCCACCCGCUGACUCUCCGGCGCCUCCCACUCGGCUGACUCUCCGGCGCCGACAGGUGGUGCUCCUUCACCGGCUGAAGCUUCCGAAUCCAGGAAGAACAAGAGGAUCUCGAAGGGGAAGAAGGGUGGGAAGAAGAAGGCGUGAGUGCUCAAUUCCGCCUCGACUUUGUGGAAAUCGAUUCCUGUUUUGGGGUGGUAUCUGAUGAUUGGCACGUAAUCUGUUGGAGCAUGUGCAUUUGCAUGUCGAGGGAAGCAAGAUUGAUCUAUUCAGUAUGAACUGGUUAUGGAGGAUGCCGCCAGUUCUGGAUUCUUGUGCAAGUUGAUGAGUGUUGUCUGAUGCGGCAUAGAUUUAGUUCAUUUAUUGGUCUUGUGAAGUGGAUUGAUCUGUAAAGGAGCACAUUAGAUAAAAUUAAUACUUGACAGUGGAGCUGAAAGUGUUAAGAGCUAACAGUGCACGUCUGUCUGUCAGAUCUUAUGCUAUAAGAAGUUGGAAAAAGGGUAAAGAUGGCUAUGUAUGAUGCUGAAGAAUUACAAGUUA